GGAGGUUCAAAUAGCAGGGAAAACACCUCCUGAGGGAAUGCAGGAACACAGAAGAUGCAAAGUGUGUCCAGAUCUCUGUUUUGGAGAAGAAAUUGCAUUUCUGGCAAGCAGCAGAGAUCAAACCAGGCAGCAAGAGCCUGGCUGGCCCCAGUCUACGAAGGGCAACGAGAGUCAAGGGAGAUCAAUAAAUUUUGGUGACAUUGGACUGGCAUUUGAGAAUUAUCAUUACAAGUGUCUGGAGCUGAAUCCCAGGAACCGCAGGGAAGUGAAAGAUAUAAAAUCUAUUUUCAGGAUGGGAUUGUGCAUAUCCUCUGCCAUAAUGUACAUAACAUAACAGUGCCUCUGCUUUCUCUGUCUGCUACAGGAUACACUCAAGCUCUCAGUCUGUUUAUUAAAGAUCAAUUUUUGUGAUAUCAUUGAUCCCCUGCACACUGGGAUUGUCAUCCUCACUCAGGAGCAGCUGAAAUUCAAUCCUUUCUUCUCCAUCCCUCUGUGGAUUAAACCCUGGGACACACAUAAUAGACACUCUCUGGGAAGAUAAUGUGCCUCUGGUAAUAGACAAAAAAAUUGACAGUAAUGAAGGGAUAUAUUGUUAAAAAUGGUGAAGAAUAACAGCCUGAUCAUUUCCUGCUCUGUGCCCAGGAAGACACCAGGAUAAACAGUCAGCCAAUGUAUUUAAGCACUCAGAAGAUAAAGGAUGAUAAGAGAAGAGCCAGCAUGGAUCUUCUGGGAACAAAUCAUAUCGAGUUACCUUCUGCAGAUAAGGUGAAGGGGAAGAAGGGAAGAUGUGUAGAGGAGCUGUGCUGGUGGGUUAGUAACACAGAGAAACAGAGAGAAAAUCAGGAUAAACCAGCAGGAGCAGCACAUUUUCAGUGUGAGACAAUUCUUCAAGGCUACUAAACUCUACAGCUGGAGUAUCUGCCUUGUCUCGGACUGAAGGGAAUUCUGGGGGGAACGUGGCCAAAACUGCAGAGAAAAAGGAGCACGAGGAAAGCCUGGCAGGAUGGAGCUGGGUUCAUCUACGGGGGGAUGGGGAAGGAGGGGAAAGAUCUUCAGGUGUGGGAAGCUCUUUCAGAACCUUCAUGGCAUCACUUCCAGCUCUGUCCUCUGCGGGAAGAAGGCUGGGGAGUGUCCUGCCAUCAGUGAGGGAACAGGGGGAUUUCCAUGGUGAAACUGCAAGGGAAACUGAGCUUGGACACCAGGGAAACGUCCAGCCUAAAGGCCAGUUGGGUACUGGAGUGUAGGAUCUGUGGAGGGACAGGUUAGGCAGACACCUGCCAGACACAAUUUAAUGUUAUCUUGAGAUAAAUAUAAUGUGGAUGACUUCAUUAAAA
Molecule: long non-coding RNA, 1334 nt
Filed under: Chloebia gouldiae (Gouldian finch)
Lineage: Eukaryota; Metazoa; Chordata; Aves; Passeriformes; Passeridae
Description: Erythrura gouldiae (Gouldian finch) lncRNA (ENSEGOG00005005364.1)
Source: RNAcentral